CCAUGUCAUAGAUCUUCAAGUGCUGCCAUCUUCUUCUAGAAUGUCUAUAUCAGGCUUCUUAAAAUUUGAUGACUGUAAAAGUGAUUAUUAGUUAGACAAAUGAUAUAUUUAACUUUUAUAUUCAAGUCCAUUUAAAGAAAAAAUUAGUUUACCUCAUCUUCAAGAUCAGUGUCACUCAACUGUGCACAACAUCUAGAGUAAGAUGUUGGCGAUUAAUGUGCUAACAAUAAAUAAAACUAGUUAGCGGUAAAGAAAUAACAAAAAUAAUUAUGAAAAACACAUGAAAUUGUAUUUCUCGUACCAUGAAUGUCAGCUUCUACCAAUCUCUAGCACACAUCAAAGCCUCUAAAGUCUUUGAAUGAAGCCUAUUUCUAUGUGGACUAAAAAAUCUACCACUGGUACUAAAUGCAGACUCUGACGCCACUGUAGAUAUUGGGAUAACUAAAAUAUCUCUUGCAACUUUUUGGAAAGAAUGAUAUUUUGUUAAAUUUGCUAUCCACCAUGCCAAUUCGUCAAAAUCAUUCGAUCUAGGUAAUAGAGGCUCGUACAAGAAAAUAUGAAGCUCUGACUUCAUAUUGUUAGUACUAGUGGUAUUACAAACAAAUAAAUCAAAUUGUGCCAACCGAUCUUUUUGCUUAUAAAAGUAGAUGCCUCAGUGUGGGUAGAAGAUUAAGUCACGUUCCCACUUGAUCCAUGUCUUGUUUUGUACACAUUUAGCAACUUGUGACAAAAUUUUCUAAUUUUUUUAAUCUCAAGAUCCGAAAAUUCAUUUUCAUAAAUCAUUGGAAAAUAAUAUUCAACCAACUUCAUUUUAAAUCUUAAAUCCAACACAUUAGCUACUACUAGAAUUCCAUGAAUCUCACUCCAAUAUUUUUCAAACUUGUCAAUCAUACUUGAAGCCAUCAUUUUGAUUUCCUCAAAGGAAGAUUGCAUCCAAUCGUAAAUUGACAAAUUUAUAUACCCGCACAGAACUGGGAGCAAAAGCAACCGCACAAAGUAACUUGAUAAGACUGUAAAAUAUAAUAUUUUUCCUUCGUAGUUAUUGCAUUCGUGUGAUUAUUUGGUACCAAAAUACACUCAUUAUACUUAUAUUUUGAUUCAGGAUGCAUUUUAAUAGAAAAGUUGAAAGUCAGAAGAAAAGAACGAAAAAGGAUCAAAGUGGAAGAAAAUGAAAGUUCACGGACUAAAGUACAAAUACUCCAAAC
This 1205-nucleotide long non-coding RNA is filed under the name Olea europaea subsp. europaea. The record is from RNAcentral. Lineage: Eukaryota; Viridiplantae; Streptophyta; Magnoliopsida; Lamiales; Oleaceae.